This 440-nucleotide ribosomal RNA is filed under the name uncultured bacterium. RNAcentral's name for it is "partial 16S ribosomal RNA". It matches the Rfam family "Bacterial small subunit ribosomal RNA", at positions 338 to 795 of the family's 1533-position model. The record is from RNAcentral.
CCUACGGGAGGCUGCAGUGGGGAAUAUUGCACAACGGGGGAAACCCUGAUGCAGCGACGCCGCGUGAGUGAAGAAGUAAUUCGUUAUGUAAAGCUCUAUCAGCAGGGAAGAAAAUGACGGUACCUGAGUAAGAAGCCACGGCUAACUACGUGCCAGCAGCCGCGGUAAUAGGUAGGGGGCGAGCGUUAUCCGGAUUUACUGGGUGUAAAGGGAGCGUAGACGGCAGUGCAAGUCUGGAGUGAAAGGCGCGGGCUCAACCCCCGGACUGCUCUGGAAACUGUACGGCUGGAGUGCAGGAGAGGUAAGUGGAAUUCCUAGUGUAGCGGUGAAAUGCGUAGAUAUUAGGAGGAACACCAGUGGCGAAGGCGGCUUACUGGACUGUAACUGACGUUGAGGCUCGAAAGCGUGGGGAGCAAACAGGAUUAGAUACCCUUGUAGUC